ACUAGUUGAUGUUAUGAUGCAUCGUUGGUCCGGUGUACGACGGCGCCUGAUGCGAUUUAUGCGUCCGGAAGCCCUUUCAGCCUCCAGGCACGUCCCCACCUGCCUCACAGCCACCGACGCAUCUCACGGCGGGGUUCCAAUUGUGUGCGCAUAUGGAUGCUCCUUUCCCCGCCGCCUUUCUAGCAACUAGUUGAUGUGAUGAUGCAUCGUCGGUCCGGUGUACGAUGGCGCCUGAUGCGAUUUAUGCGUCCGGAAGCCCUUUCAGCCUCCAGGCAUGUCCCCACCUGCCUCACAGCUACCGAGGCAUCUCACGGCGGGGUUCCAAUUGUGUGCGCGUAUGGAUGCUCCUUUCCCCGCCGCCUUUCUAGCAACUAGUUGAUGUUAUGAUGCAUCGUUGGUCCGGUGUACGAUGGCGCCUGAUGCGAUUUAUGCGUCCGGAAGCCCUUUCAGCCUCCAGGCACGUCCCCACCUGCCUCACAGCCACCGACGCAUCUCACGGCGGGGGUCUAAUUGCGUGCGCGUAUGGAUGCUCCUUUCCCCGCCGCCUUUCUAGCAACUAGUUGAUGUUAUGAUGCAUCGUUGUUCCAGUGUACGACGGCGCCUGAUGCGAUUUAUGCGUCCGGAAGCCCUUUCAGCCUCCAGGCAUGUCCCCACCUGCCUCACAGCCACCGACGCAUCUCACGGCGGGGUUCAUAUUGCGUGCGCGUAUGGAUGCUCCUUUCGCCGCCUUUCCAGCAACUAGUUGAUGUUAUGAUGCAUCGUUGGUCCGGCGUACGACGGCGCCUGAUGCGAUUUAUGCGUCCGGAAGCCCUUUCAGCCUCCANNNNNNNNNNNNNNNNNNNNNNNNNNNNNNNNNNNNNNNNNNNNNNNNNNCUUUCCCCGCCGCCUUUCUAGCAACUAGUUGAUGUUAUGAUGCAUCGUUGGUCCGGUGUACGACGGCGCCUGAUGCGAUUUAUGCGUCCGGAAGCCCUUUCAGCCUCCAGGCAUGACCCCACCUGCCUCACAGCUACCGAGGCAUCUCACGGCGGGGUUCCAAUUGCGUGCGCGUAUGGAUGCUCCUUUCCCCGCCGCCUUUCUAGCAACUAGUUGAUGUUAUGAUGCAUCGUUGGUCCAGUGUACGACGGCGCCUGAUGCGAUUUAUGCGUCCGGAAGCCCUUUCAGCCUCCAGGCAUGUCCCCACCUGCCUCACAGCCACCGACGCAUCUCACGGCGGGGUUCCAAUUGUGUGCGCGUAUGGAUGCUCCUUUCCCCGCCGCCUUUCUAGCAACUAGUUGAUGUUAUGAUGCAUCGUUGGUCCGGUGUACGACGGCGCCUGAUGCGAUUUAUGCGUCCGGAAGCCCUUUCAGCCUCCAGGCACGUCCCCACCUGCCUCACAGCCACCGACGCAUCUCACGGCGGGGUUCCAAUUGUGUGCGCAUAUGGAUGCUCCUUUCCCCGCCGCCUUUCUAGCAACUAGUUGAUGUGAUGAUGCAUCGUCGGUCCGGUGUACGAUGGCGCCUGAUGCGAUUUAUGCGUCCGGAAGCCCUUUCAGCCUCCAGGCAUGUCCCCACCUGCCUCACAGCUACCGAGGCAUCUCACGGCGGGGUUCCAAUUGUGUGCGCGUAUGGAUGCUCCUUUCCCCGCCGCCUUUCUAGCAACUAGUUGAUGUUAUGAUGCAUCGUUGGUCCGGUGUACGAUGGCGCCUGAUGCGAUUUAUGCGUCCGGAAGCCCUUUCAGCCUCCAGGCACGUCCCCACCUGCCUCACAGCCACCGACGCAUCUCACGGCGGGGGUCUAAUUGCGUGCGCGUAUGGAUGCUCCUUUCCCCGCCGCCUUUCUAGCAACUAGUUGAUGUUAUGAUGCAUCGUUGGUCCGGCGUACGACGGCGCCUGAUGCGAUUUAUGCGUCCGGAAGCCCUUUCAGCCUCCAGGCAUGUCCCCACCUGCCUCACAGCCACCGAGGCAUCUCACGGCGGGGUUCCAAUUGUGUGCGCGUAUGGAUGCUCCUUUCCGCCGCCUUUCUAGCAACUAGUUGAUGUUAUGAUGCAUCGUUGGUCCGGCGUACGACGGCGCCUGAUGCGAUUUAUGCGUCCGGAAGCCCUUUCAGCCUCCAGGCAUGUCCCCACCUGCCUCACAGCCACCGACGCAUCUCACGGCGGGGUUCUAAUUGCGUGCGCGUAUGGAUGCUCCUUUCCCCGCCGCCUUUCUAGCAACUAGUUGAUGUUAUGAUGCAUCGUUG
RNAcentral lists this long non-coding RNA (2216 nucleotides) under Volvox carteri. RNAcentral describes it as "long non-coding RNA (VCAR_LNC004031)". Lineage: Eukaryota; Viridiplantae; Chlorophyta; Chlorophyceae; Chlamydomonadales; Volvocaceae. The record is from RNAcentral.